AAUCUAUGUGUACCUGCCCAGUGAUUCUUAAUCAUAACCAUAAAAAAGUUAAAAUAGAAUUAAAAGGACGCGGUAACCUUGACCGUGAUAAUGUAGCAUAAUCACUCGCCAUUUAAUUGGUGGAUAGUAUGAAUGGUUGAACGAAUAUCCCACUGUCUUAAAGAAAACUAAAAGAAAUUGAAAUAAUAGUUAAGAUGCUAUUUUUAACUGUAAGACGAAAAGACCCUAUAGAGCUUAACUAUAAUCUCUAUAUAAUAUAUUAAAUAAUAAUUUAUAAAUUAUAGAGAUUGGUAGUUUAGUUGGGGCGACUAUCUUUUAAAUAUAACAAAGAUAAGCAAAAUUAAUAACUAAUUUAUUGUAUAAUUAAUUUAUUUAACAAUUAUGAUAAUAGGCUAUAAUGACCCGUUAAUACUUUAUAAAAAGACUAACGAUCAAUUGAUAAAAGCUACCUUAGGGAUAACAGGAUAAUUUCAUUUUAGAGUCCCUAUCGAAAAUGAAGUUUGUCACCUCGAUGUGGAAUU
This 521-nucleotide ribosomal RNA is filed under the name Clytia folleata. RNAcentral describes it as "partial 16S ribosomal RNA". It matches the Rfam family "Bacterial large subunit ribosomal RNA", at positions 1845 to 2538 of the family's 2925-position model. Lineage: Eukaryota; Metazoa; Cnidaria; Hydrozoa; Leptothecata; Clytiidae. The record is from RNAcentral.